RNAcentral lists this long non-coding RNA (574 nucleotides) under Homo sapiens (human). RNAcentral's name for it is "novel transcript". Lineage: Eukaryota; Metazoa; Chordata; Mammalia; Primates; Hominidae. The record is from RNAcentral.
AAGACUGGUGUGGGAAGGGUCGCUUUGGAUGCACUUGAGCAGGGGUCCCCAACCCCUGAGCCAUGGAGCCGCAAGGAGCCACACAGCAGGAGGUGGGACCAUCCAGUUGCAGGAAAACAAGCUUAACACGCCCACUAAUUCUACAUUAUGCUCCUACCUCCCGGCAGCCUCUCCAGGCCCAGAACUUUCUCCAGUCAGCCUCUACAGACCAAGCUCAUGACUCACAAUGGCCUAUUUAGGCCCAUACCCUACGUCACGGCAGCCUCCGCAGAUGAGGCUACUGCCUCACAACAGCCUCCACAGGCACAGCUCCAUCGUUACAAUGGCCUCUUUAGACCCAGCUCCUGCCUCCCAGCCUUCUCUCCAGGCCCUGAACUUUCUCAAGUCGACCUCACCAGGCCCAGCUCAUGCUUCUUUGCAGCCUCUCCAGGCCCAGCUCCUGCAUCUUGGUGGCCCCUCCAGGCCCAGCCUCUGCCUCCCGUCGGCCUCUGCAGUCCCAACGUCUGCCUCACAGCAGAUUCUUCACGCCCAGCAUCUACCUCACUGUGGACCCCCCAAGCCAAGCUCCCAACCU